This is a long non-coding RNA of Dioscorea cayenensis subsp. rotundata (Guinea yam), 845 nucleotides long. RefSeq lists it as uncharacterized. The transcript has 4 exons. NCBI's taxonomy places the organism in Eukaryota, Viridiplantae, Streptophyta, Magnoliopsida, Dioscoreales, Dioscoreaceae. The record is from RefSeq and is a predicted model, not a curated record.
UCCAUCUACGUCGGAAAUGCUAAUAAAUGAGGUGGUCCUGUAAAGGUUCUAUGAGAUCGGCUUUUUCUUUAUAUACAAAUGUGAUCAAUUCUCAUUGGUGGUAUGUUUUGUUUAUUAAAUUAAUCAAGGCAUCUCUAGCACUAACUGGGUUUUAGAUUCUGUGUCUAAAGAACAAGCAAUUGAUCUCCAUGUUCUCUUUUUCCUGUCUGUCAACACUUGUCAUCUAGUUUUUGCUUGCCCUGCGAUAUCGUCUCCAAGACUCAACAUGUUUGAAGUUGAACAGAUUCUAUUUGACCAUAUGAUUUGCAACACUAGUAACAGAACAAUCAAAAUCUAAGUUCUCUUUUUUGAUUUGGAUUUAUUAAAGUGUUCUCCAAUUCAACAAAUUGCACAAGAACAAGUACGUGAUGGAUUGUAAAAAAAAAAAAUGGUUACAAUGAAGAACUUUCGCUGUUUUGCUUUCUUUCUUUUUUAUCAUGGAAGAAUACUAAAGAUUAAUUUAAAGGCAACAAAUGUAUCCAAAGAGUGGCCUGUAAGUUGUGCAAGUGUUCUAAUUCCAAGAGUGAGAUUCAGAUUUAAUACUUAUUUGAAUUGAGGGUUCUAAUGUGCUCUGCCCAUAUAAUGAAAAAUAUUUCAGGAUCAUGGAGGGGAAAGUUUUGGAGCGAAUGACAUUUUACUUGAUGAAAUUUUAUCAGGAGAUAAUGUCGGCUCAUUUUCUUCACCUAUGGUUCUUGGAACGGUACAUACAGAAGAGAAUGAGAUGAUAGGUCAGAUGGUUGAUAGCUUCUCAAAUAUCAAAGUUGAUGAAGAGUGUGGAUCAUUUCCUUCGGAGGUGAAUGUCUCCA